This 216-nucleotide long non-coding RNA is filed under the name Mytilus galloprovincialis (Mediterranean mussel). Lineage: Eukaryota; Metazoa; Mollusca; Bivalvia; Mytilida; Mytilidae. The record is from RNAcentral.
GUCUGAUAAACAAUUAGUAAGUGAAAUGCCUACAUAUUGAUGCCUCAGUUGGCAGUAUGUCCUUGUUUGGUGAUUGGGAAAAAUGACGGGAAAAUUAGAAAUCCAUCAAGACUUUAUUUCUGAUUUGUUUGCGUGGUGAUACUGCACCUAUAUCUCUUACUUGCACUUACUGAUGCACAAUUUCUGCAACAGACUAAAAUACUUCAGUAAACAAAC